This 76-nucleotide non-coding RNA is filed under the name unclassified sequences. The record is from RNAcentral.
AUCCCUCACAAGACAGCCUCCGCGUGGCGAGGGAUGGACAACGCAAGUUUUGAAGGUUCUUGCGGCCAAUGUCUUG